Cucurbita maxima (winter squash) is the source of this 374-nucleotide long non-coding RNA. RefSeq lists it as uncharacterized. The record is from RefSeq and is a predicted model, not a curated record. The transcript is spliced from 3 exons. NCBI's taxonomy places the organism in Eukaryota, Viridiplantae, Streptophyta, Magnoliopsida, Cucurbitales, Cucurbitaceae.
ACUUCAAAUUUCAUAAAAUCCUCUCUCCUUCCUUCCAUCUGCUUCUGGAUCAAUUUGCCGAGAGAUAAUCCGUCUUUAUGUCCUAUGAGCACAGAUUUCAAGAAUCUCAACUCUAAGGAUUUUGAUUUUUAUGUAAUUGGAUGAGACGGAUGCUUGAACCUCGAAUUUCUUUUCUUGUUGAUUAUGAUUUGCCAAGAGAUAAUUCAUGAAGAAUGAAAAGCUCGAAUCCGUCGUUAUGUCCUCUGAGCACAGAUUUCAAGAAUCUCAACUCUCAGAUGCGGCUUCCAAGCUUUCUAGUCUUGCUUCCGUGCACAUUUCUUUUGUGCGCGAUCGCUGCAGCGCUGAGCUUCCUUAUGUCAGGGUAGGAUCGCCAG